GGGGGUGCACUGGAUUCGACGAGGGUGAAGAGGCGGCAGGGGCAUACCGAGUUCUCCGCAUCUCGUUAAACUGUGGAAAAUAAAUUUAAGAGCAAACACAGAGUUUGCACUGGCUGCCUAAUUAGGCGGCCCGUUAUGCCGGUUUUCUCCUACGGGAUCGGACAUAGCGUCACUUAGUAGGAUAGUCGGCGCGUUACGCCUUAGGGUCGCCGGCGAAUCUAAACUAGGGCUGGCUGCGGACCGAGUUUUCCUUUUCAUCUCGUAUGCGGCGACAAUUGAGAAAAGGAUAAGUAUGUAGAGCCUGUACGCUGAACUCUCUCGGACGCGGGUUCGAUUCCCGCCACCUCCACCA
Molecule: transfer-messenger RNA, 352 nt
Filed under: Acidobacteriota
Lineage: Bacteria; Pseudomonadati
Also listed under: 1 other name
Description: JACOSC01 sp016179055 Standard tmRNA
Rfam family: transfer-messenger RNA
About the family: Bacterial tmRNA, also known as 10Sa RNA or SsrA, is named for its dual tRNA and mRNA-like properties. Its role is to liberate the mRNA from a stalled ribosome.
Source: RNAcentral